GGGGAUGCGGGUAUAGCUGCAGUCGAGCGAGAAGUUUUAAAAGAUACCUCGGUUGAUUUUUAAGAUGGACAGCGGCGAAAGGGAGAGUAACGAGUAGAUUACGUACCCAGGGGUCCGGGAUAGCUGCGGGAAACUGCAGGUAAUACCGGAUAAUGUCUCCGGACCAAAUAUUUAUAGCCCUUGGAGCGGUCUGCUUACUAUUAGUUUGUUGGUGGGGUAAAGGCCUACCAAGACUAAGAUGGUUAGCGGGUGUGAGAGCAUGGCCCGUCUCACUGGGACUGAGACACUGCCCAGACACCUACGGGUGGCUGCAGUCGAGAAUCUUCCGCAAUGGGCGAAAGCCUGACGGAGCGACGCCGCGUGCGGGAUGAAGGCCUUCGGGUUGUAAACCGCUGUCAUAGGGGAGGAAAUUUUGACCGAUCCUAAGAGGAAGCACAGGCUAAGUUCGUGCCAGCAGCCGCGGUAAUACGAACUGUGCAAACGUUAUUCGGAAUCACUGGGCUUAAAGGGUGCGUAGGCGGAUUUAAAGGUCUGAUGUGAAAGCCCACGGCUCAACCGUGGAAUUGCGUUGGAAACCAUGAAUCUUGAGGAGAUCAGAGGUAAGCGGAACUGAUGGUGGAGCGGUGAAAUGCGUUGAUAUCAUCAGGAACACCGGUGGCGAAAGCGGCUUGCUGGGAUCUUUCUGACGCUGAGGCACGAAAGCUAGGGGAGCGAACGGGAUUAGAUACCCCGGUAGUCCUAGCUGUAAACGAUCAGUACUAGUCUGUGAGGACUCUCACAUCCUCUCGGACGUAGCCGAAGUGGUAAGUACUGCCCCUGGGGAGUAUGGUCCCAGGGU
Molecule: ribosomal RNA, 838 nt
Filed under: uncultured marine bacterium
Lineage: Bacteria
Description: bacterial SSU rRNA
Rfam family: Bacterial small subunit ribosomal RNA
Source: RNAcentral